UUGGAGGGCAAGUCUGGUGCCAGCAGCCGCGGUAAUUCCAGCUCCAAUAGCAUAUAUUAAAGUUGUUGCAGUUAAAAAGCUCGUAGUUGGAUUUCUGGAAGGAUGCCAAUGUCCGCUCGAUAGCGUGUGCAGCGGCGUCCUUCCAUCCUUCUGUUAACGUUUCUUGGUAUUCAGUUACUGGUUUCGGGCUCAGAUAUUUUACCUUGAGAAAAUUAGAGUGUUCCAGGCAGGCUUGCGCCGGAAUACAUUAGCAUGGAAUAAUAGAAUAGGACUUUAGUCUCCUUUGUUGGUUUGAGGGACUGAAGUAAUGAUUAAUAGGGAUAGUUGGGGGCAUUAGUAUUUAAUUGUCAGAGGUGAAAUUCUCGGAUUUGUUAAAGACUAACUUAUGCGAAAGCAUUUGCCAAGGAUGUUUUCAUUAAUCAAGAACGAAAGUUAGGGGAUCAAAGACGAUCAGAUACCGUCCUAGUCUUAACCAUAAACUAUGCCGACUAGGGAUCGGAGGCGCGCUUUAUCCGCCUUCGGCGCCUUACGGGAAAC
Molecule: ribosomal RNA, 537 nt
Filed under: uncultured Glomus
Lineage: Eukaryota; Fungi; Glomeromycota; Glomeromycetes; Glomerales; Glomeraceae
Description: SSU rRNA
Rfam family: Eukaryotic small subunit ribosomal RNA
Source: RNAcentral